ACUAACCAGGAUUCCCUUAGUAGCGGCGAGCGAACAGGGAAAAGCCCAGCACCGAAUCCCGCGCCCGCAGGCGCCGGGAAAUGUGGUGUUUGGGAGGGUCCGACAUCCCGGGGCCCGGUCGACAGGUCCAAGUCCCUCUUGAACGGGGCCAUUCACCCACAGAGGGUGCCAGGCCCGUAGGACCGUCGCCGGCCGCGGGAGGAUCCCUCCUCAGAGUCGGGUUGCUUGAAAAUGCAGCCCUAAGCGGGUGGUAAACUCCAUCUAAGGCUAAAUAUCACCACGAGACCGAUAGCGAACAAGUACCGUGAGGGAAAGUUGAAAAGAACUUUGAAGAGAGAGUUCAAUAGUACGUGAAACCGUUCAGGGGUAAACCUGAGAAACCCGAAAGGUCGAUGGAGGGAGAUUCAGCGCGUCUCGGACGCCGGAGCGCGGCGGACGCACGACGGACUUCGCUCGCGUCGUCCGCGUCGCCCGCCCCUGCCGUCGCCGAACGCGUGCACUUCUCCCUCGGUAGGACGUCGCGACCCGUUGGGGGCCGGCCCACGGCCCGCGGUGGAGCCCGCGCGUCGCGUUUCGGCGCGACGCUCGGACCCGCGGUGCCCCGGCCGGCCGGCCGACGGUACGAUCAAGGCGCGGGGCCGCGACCAGUUCGCGCCCGGCCCGUCGCUCACGCGACGGUGCCCUCGGGCAGACCCCGUCAGCCGGUCGGCGGCGCUAUAGCUUUGGGUACUUUCAGGACCCGUCUUGAAACACGGACCAAGGAGUCUAGCAUGUGCGCGAGUCAUUGGGACUAGCGAAACCUAAAGGCGCAAUGAAAGUGAAGGCCCGCCCUGAGCGGGCCGAGGGCGGAUGGGCGGCGGCACGCCGCCGCCCCGCACGCCCGGGGCGUCCCGAUCUCAUCGCGAGAUGAGGGCGCACCCAGAGCGUACACGCUGGGACCCGAAAGAUGGUGAACUAUGCCUGGUCAGGACGAAGUCAGGGGAAACCCUGAUGGAGGUCCGUAGCGAUUCUGACGUGCAAAUCGAUCGUCGGAACUGGGUAUAGGGGCGAAAGACUAAUCGAACCAUCUAGUAGCUGGUUCCCUCCGAAGUUUCCCUCAGGAUAGCUGGCGCUCGCUUUGCGAGUCUCAUCCGGUAAAGCGAAUGAUUAGAGGCAUUGGGGUCGAAACGGCCUCAACCUAUUCUCAAACUUUAAAUGGGUGAGAUCUCCGGCUUGCUCGAACGGUGAAGCCGCGAGACCUCGGAUCAGAG
RNAcentral lists this ribosomal RNA (1250 nucleotides) under Orchymontia sp. DDM0249. RNAcentral describes it as "eukaryotic LSU rRNA". It matches the Rfam family "Eukaryotic large subunit ribosomal RNA", at positions 64 to 1119 of the family's 3401-position model. Lineage: Eukaryota; Metazoa; Arthropoda; Insecta; Coleoptera; Hydraenidae. The record is from RNAcentral.